CCUACGGGUGACAGCAGUCGAGAAUCAUUCACAAUGGGGGAAACCCUGAUGGUGCGACGCCGCGUGGGGGAAUGAAGGUCUUCGGAUUGUAAACCCCUGUCAUGUGGGAGCAAAUUAAAAAGAUAGUACCACACGAGGAAGAGACGGCUAACUCUGUGCCAGCAGCCGCGGUAAUACAGAGGUCUCAAGCGUUGUUCGGAAUCACUGGGCGUAAAGCGUGCGUAGGCUGUUUCGUAAGUCGUGUGUGAAAGGCGCGGGCUCAACCCGCGGACGGCACAUGAUACUGCGAGACUAGAGUAAUGGAGGGGGAACCGGAAUUCUCGGUGUAGCAGUGAAAUGCGUAGAUAUCGAGAGGAACACUCGUGGCGAAGGCGGGUUCCUGGACAUUAACUGACGCUGAGGCACGAAGGCCAGGGGAGCGAAAGGGAUUAGAUACCACAGUAGUC
Molecule: ribosomal RNA, 446 nt
Filed under: uncultured bacterium
Lineage: Bacteria
Description: partial 16S ribosomal RNA
Rfam family: Bacterial small subunit ribosomal RNA
Source: RNAcentral